RNAcentral lists this ribosomal RNA (253 nucleotides) under uncultured bacterium. RNAcentral describes it as "partial 16S ribosomal RNA". It matches the Rfam family "Bacterial small subunit ribosomal RNA", at positions 524 to 776 of the family's 1533-position model. The record is from RNAcentral.
GACAGAGGGUGCAAACGUUGUUCGGAAUUACUGGGCGUAAAGCGCGUGUAGGCGGUUCGUAAAGUCGGAUGUGAAAGCCCUGGGCUUAGCCCAGGAAGUGCAUUCGAAACUCACGAACUUGAGUCCCGGAGAGGAAGGCGGAAUUCUCGGUGUAGAGGUGAAAUUCGUAGAUAUCGAGAGGAACAUCUGUGGCGAAGGCGGCCUUCUGGACGGUGACUGACGCUGAGACGCGAAAGCGUGGGGAGCAAACAGG